AAGUCGUAACAAGGUUUCCGUAGGUGAACCUGCGGAAGGAUCAUUAAUUAUCCUCGAAAUAGAGGUAGAUGCUCCGAUUCAUGCUUGGGCAACCGGCUGUCUACGUUGAUCUACCUUUACUCUUCAUGGACAUCCCUUCUGUGUAUCAACCCUUUGUUGCUUCCCGCAUGGCGUGGCCCGCCAGGGUUGCUCUGCGGGGAGGAUAUCAUAAACUCUGGUUGUUGUGUUGUUUGUCUGAGUGGUAAACACAUUAAAAACAAGUUAAAACUUUCAACAACGGAUCUCUUGGUUCUC
RNAcentral lists this unclassified non-coding RNA (294 nucleotides) under air metagenome. Its description in RNAcentral is "partial contains small subunit ribosomal RNA, internal transcribed spacer 1, and 5.8S ribosomal RNA". The stretch from base 1 to 46 matches the Rfam family "Eukaryotic small subunit ribosomal RNA", at positions 1786 to 1831 of the family's 1831-position model. The record is from RNAcentral.